UUAAUUGAAACCAAAAAAGAGGUAAAUCAUUGUUAAUGAUUAAAUUGGAAAGUCCCCAAUUAAA
RNAcentral lists this transfer RNA (64 nucleotides) under Ocypus brunnipes. Its description in RNAcentral is "tRNA-Asn". Lineage: Eukaryota; Metazoa; Arthropoda; Insecta; Coleoptera; Staphylinidae. The record is from RNAcentral.